Nomascus leucogenys (northern white-cheeked gibbon) is the source of this 115-nucleotide long non-coding RNA. RefSeq lists it as uncharacterized. NCBI's taxonomy places the organism in Eukaryota, Metazoa, Chordata, Mammalia, Primates, Hylobatidae. The transcript is spliced from 3 exons. The record is from RefSeq and is a predicted model, not a curated record.
CUGGUGUGGGGUUGGAGUAGGGGGGACGGACAGCAUCAGGAGAUACACCUAAUGCUAAAUGACGAGUUAAUGGGUGCAGCAAACCAACAUGGCACAUGGAUACAUAUGUAACAAA